This 261-nucleotide ribosomal RNA is filed under the name uncultured archaeon. RNAcentral describes it as "partial 16S ribosomal RNA". It matches the Rfam family "Archaeal small subunit ribosomal RNA", at positions 748 to 1009 of the family's 1478-position model. The record is from RNAcentral.
AGGGUGUAAACGCUGCGGGCUUGGUGUUGGGGGUCCUUAGUGGGCGCCCAGUGCCGGAGAGAAGUUGUUAAGCCUGCUGCUUGGGGAGUAUGUCCGCAAGGAUGAAACUUAAAGGAAUUGGCGGGGGAGCACCACAACGGGUGGAGCCUGCGGUUUAAUUGGACUCAACGCCGGGAAGCUCACCGGAUAAGACAGCGGAAUGAUUGCCGGGCUGAAGACCCUGCAUGACCAGCUGAGAGGUGGUGCAUGGCGUAGACGUCU